This is a long non-coding RNA of Eriocheir sinensis (Chinese mitten crab), 318 nucleotides long. RefSeq lists it as uncharacterized. The transcript is spliced from 2 exons. Lineage: Eukaryota; Metazoa; Arthropoda; Malacostraca; Decapoda; Varunidae. The record is from RefSeq and is a predicted model, not a curated record.
CCAGUAGUGAUAAAGACUCAGGCCCUCGAUGAAGUCAUUCAUGUCAUGGUCGAACCGGAUCCACAGGCCGAUAGCGAACACCAACGCCCCGCCGCACUGCAAGAUGGUAGAGGAUGGGACGACGGCAGCAGAAGGGAUGUUUGUUCAUGUGAUGAAUAGGAGAGGAGAGAGAAGUAGAUAGUAAGAUAGAUAGAUAGAAAGAUAGAUAGAUAGAUUUUAAAGCAUGAGAGGAAGGCAGAAGAAAGGGAGCUUGUUGCAGUGAUGAAUGGGAGAGGAGGGAGAGGUAGAUAGGUAGAUAGAUAGAUAGAUAGAUAGAUA